Papaver somniferum (opium poppy) is the source of this 488-nucleotide long non-coding RNA. RefSeq lists it as uncharacterized. The transcript is spliced from 3 exons. The record is from RefSeq and is a predicted model, not a curated record. Lineage: Eukaryota; Viridiplantae; Streptophyta; Magnoliopsida; Ranunculales; Papaveraceae.
AGCUACUCUCAUUUUUAGAUUCGUUUUUUAGGAUUUUCUUGAUUCGGUUUCCCAAGAUCUAAUUCUUCUGAUUUGGUUUCAUAUUGAUUAGGAAGAAAAUUAGAUCCGCGAUUAGAGAGAAUCAAUUAUAUAUGGGGAUUUUUAUUCUAGUCUCUCUUCUACUAGAAGAACUUAGGGGUUUUCUGAUCAAGAGUUAUGUCGUCUAUGGCUGUCGAUGUAUUACGAAGAGGAAGAAAACGAUUAGAUCAAUCGAUAUCUGUUUCUAUAUCUAUUGGUGAUGUUUCUGGCUUCGGAGAAAAUACACACAUUAGUUGGAGCAUUUGGUGUUGGAGACUAUGCGGAUGGACGGAUGUCACAACACCAUGGUGGAAAAUGGAGGGAAUAAUAAUCGUUCUGUAAUAUCAAGCUUAAAUGCCCCACCAUUUGUACUAGUGGAGCUUUGUCGAUAACAUUAGGAACUUAGGUUCGCGCGUACUGAAAGGACACCG